RNAcentral lists this ribosomal RNA (110 nucleotides) under Pogona vitticeps (central bearded dragon). The record is from RNAcentral. Lineage: Eukaryota; Metazoa; Chordata; Lepidosauria; Squamata; Agamidae.
UCUGUCACCCUGAACGCACUGGAUCCUGUCUGAUUUCAGAAGUUUAGCAGGAUCAGGCCUGAUGAGCGGUUGGGUGAUAGGUGACCCUGAAAAUCAGGAAUCUCCCAGAA